Molecule: ribosomal RNA, 831 nt
Filed under: uncultured crenarchaeote
Lineage: Archaea; Thermoproteati; Thermoproteota
Description: bacterial SSU rRNA
Rfam family: Archaeal small subunit ribosomal RNA
Source: RNAcentral
GACAUGCUAGUCGAGUGACUCAGGCAAAACGAGUCACGGCACACAGCUCAGUAACACGUGGCUAAUCUGCCCUUGAGACGAGAACAACCCCGGGAAACUGGGGCUAACUCUCGAUAGGUGAAGAACUCUGGAAUGAGUCUUUGCCUAAAUAACUUCACGUUAUCCUCGUGAAGUUGCUCAAGGAUGAGGCCGCGACCGAUCAGGUUGUUGGCGAGGUAAUGGCUCACCAAGCCUUUUACCGGUGCGGGCCGUGGGAGCGGGAGCCCGGAGAUGGGUACUGAGACAAGGACCCAGGCCCUACGGGGCGCAGCAGUCGCGAAAACUUUGCAAUAAGCGCAAGCUUGACAGGGCUAUCCCGAGUGCCAUCCGCUGAGGAAGGCUUUUACCCAGUCUAGAACGCUGGGGGAAUAAGGAGAGGGCAAGUCUGGUGUCAGCCGCCGCGGUAAUACCAGCUCUCCGAGUGGUGUGGAUGUUUAUUGGGCCUAAAGCAUCCGUAGCUGGCUAAGUCAGUCCCUUGUUAAAUCCACCGAAUUAAUCGUUGGAUUGCGGGGGAUACUGCUUGGCUAGGGGACGAGAGAGGCAGACGGUAUUUUCGGGGUAGGGGUGAAAUCCUAUAAUCCCGGGAAGACCACCAGUGGCGAAGGCUGUCUGCUAGAACGCGCCCGACGGUGAGGGAUGAAAGCUGGGGGAGCGAACCGGAUUAGAUACCCGGGUAGUCCCAGCUGUAAACGAUGCAAACUAGGUGUUUGAACGGCCACGUGCCGUUCUAGUGCCGCAGGGAAGCUGUUAAGUUUGCCGCCUGGGGAGUACGAUCGCAAGAUUGAAACUUAA